This 441-nucleotide ribosomal RNA is filed under the name uncultured bacterium. RNAcentral describes it as "partial 16S ribosomal RNA". It matches the Rfam family "Bacterial small subunit ribosomal RNA", at positions 338 to 795 of the family's 1533-position model. The record is from RNAcentral.
CCUACGGGAGGCUGCAGUGGGGGAUAUUGCACAAUGGAGGGAACCCUGAUGCAGCGACGCCGCGUGGGUGAAGGAGUGCUUCGGCAUGUAAAGCCGUAUCGGCAGGGGAGAAGCAAGGCGGUACCUGACUAAGAAGCCCCGGCUAACUACGUGCAAGCAGCCGCGGUAAUACGUAGGGGGCGAGCGUUAUCCGGAUUCACUGGGUGGAAAGGGGGCGUAGACGGCCAUGCAAGCCAGGGGUGAAAGCCCGGGGCCCAACCCCGGGACUGCCCUUGGAACUGUGGGGCUAGAGUGCGGGAGGGGCAGGCGGAAUUCCUGGUGUAGCGGUGAAAUGCGUAGAUAUCAGGAGGAACACCGGCGGCGAAGGCGGCCUGCUGGACUGCGACUGACGUUGAGGCUCGAAAGCGUGGGGAGCGAACAGGAUUAGAUACCCUGGUAGUC